RNAcentral lists this long non-coding RNA (4223 nucleotides) under Equus caballus (horse). RNAcentral's name for it is "lncRNA (ENSECAG00000038310.2)". The record is from RNAcentral. Lineage: Eukaryota; Metazoa; Chordata; Mammalia; Perissodactyla; Equidae.
AGGAGCCUGAGGCUGGGCUUGGGGGCGCUGCGCCGCCCGGGGUUCCGGCCGAGGACCCUAGCAAGGCCCUUCUGGUUCCCAAAGCCUGCGGAAAUCCGGCCUCCUUGGGUGUGCGAGAAGAGCCCACGUAUCUUCGGUUCCUGCGGGAGGAGUCGAAAGACCCAAAAGCUGGAGGCGGUGGCGGCGACUCAGCAGCCUCCCAGAAGUGGGAGCCGGGCCAGGGGCUUCAACGCAGAAACGCAGGACAAGCGGCUGCUGAGGUGGCUUUGGACAUCAGCCUGGCUUUUGAGCUGGACUUCUCUGCUUUCUAACAUCGGGCAAGUUGAUUAAAUUUUCAGAGCCUGCAGUUUCCUUGCCCAAAUUAUAGAGCCAACCCUUUCCCGGAUUACCGAAGGGACUAAGGAGAUAAGGCAGGUAAAAGCGCUUGGCUCUUCGCGGGUGCUCCGGAAACGGCGCAGGGCGCCCCAGGGUGACUUGACUUAGUUUUUCUACGCCCCAGGCGGGAUGAGGCGUUAGGAGGCGGAUCCUACAAACUGCAGGAGACCCACCCUCCCGCCUCUUUCCCAGACGCUUGAUUUCCCGGGAAAGUCGCGUGGCUGCUCUGCUCGCUGAGCGCUUUCCCUCUGCAACGCCUCAAAGGGAGGCUAUUGCGUAUUUAGGUGCCGCGCUUCCCGAGGAGCAGAUUCACAGACUCCCACGGGGGCAGGCGGAGAGAGAGCGGGUCCAGACCUGGGGAGUGGGUGGAGACCCGCGACCCGAGGGAGGGCAACUCAGGGGAGACCCGCCCAGCCCCAGAGGGCCGGCGCCUGGCAGGGUGGGGCCGCUGCAGAGCAGUGGUAACUUACCACUCCUCCCCCGGCACACACACACACCUCUGCACGUGUGCACGGGCACACACUGUCCCUCUGUCUGUCAGACUCUCGGGCUGGGUCUAGGGCUGACCCGUGCGUUCACACGGGGGGCAGUCGUGCUGCAAGUCUACACGUUUACCCCUUCCUUCCUCAAGAUCUCUUCGUUACACACCAGGGCCUGUCCCCAGAUCUCGUCCCUGUGCUGGCCUCCAGUCCAGGGAAAUGCAGAAUCGCAUUCACCUACCUGUUCCCAGGUGGCCACAUGGCCACGCCUUACGGCACACGGACUGGGAGGCAAGUCCCACAGGUUCGUAGAAAAAACACGUAAGGACCUUCGCGGCGUCCUCUGAUUGGUUCACUUGCCGUCAAGGGAAAACCAGCUUCCCUGGGUUGGCACACUUUUUCAGGAGCCAGUCCCGCGAGCUCAAGACGGUUGUACCCUUGAACCCAUCUCAUAUGCAUAGGCUUUGACUUCUCUCCCUUUCCCAUUUCAGGCCAGAAAUUGGGCGCUUUCUGGUCAGGGCAGGGACUGCAUGGUUACUGCCCUGGGGAGGAUUCUGUAGCGAGUUGGGCAGGAGGAGAGGGAGAGGACGGUUUGUUAACCCCACAGAAACCCCAAGUCGACUCUGCGCCCUCAACUCCUGUGCUCGGGGGCAGUGAGGUGCCAACCUUGCGCUGCGCGCAGGGGCGCUGGAUCGCGAAAGCGCCUCGCAUUGGGUUUACAGCGCUGGUGCGACAUCUGCCCGCCUAAUCCGCAUGGGAGAGGCUUCCAGCGCAGAGAAGUGAGGGGGCGGUGGUGCUUAAGGGAUGUUUCUCGAUGAGGGGUCGACCAUUGGAAGGCCUGGGGCCUUCGGUUGCACAAACGGAGCAGUUCAGGGGAGGCCCCCCCCUGCAACUCCUGAGCCUUCUACCCAGGAAUGAGGCUGUCCCUUCCACAUAGCAGUCCAGCUUCCUCGCUUGUCACGGGUGUCACCGCCAGUUCACAGGAGUUCCCAGGACUUCAGUGAGGCCCCGCGCCGCGUGCAAACUUGCAAACGGGCACCUGCUUGGAGCUGCCCCGCGGUGCGCCGGAGACAGCUGAGGGCGUGGGGAAAGCUCUGUUUCCUGCGGGCGGGCCGCCUGAAGCCGGCGUCCAGGCCGAAAUCUCCGCGGAAAGCUCUGCAGGGACGGUUAGUGAGCGACUCCAAAGCGUCCACCCACCCCCACCCCGCCAGCCACAGGGACUGUCGGGGCCCAGCAGCAGGGGACACUCCCGAGGCAGGUUGGAAUUCGCCAGAAUUGCGAAAAGGGUGAGAAACGCGCUCUUAUUUUGAAGCCCAGCCCCAGGGAUCCUCAAUUCAGCAAAUAAACAGGUUCCUGGGGGGAAGGGACAUCUUGCACCGCGGCUCCCUAAAUCUAGUCCUCUGGGGUGUCGAGGGGCGGGUUGGCCGGAAAGAAAAUGCAGCCUGCGUCCGCCUGCUUUGAUCCGACCAGUCGGGAAACUCGAGCCUCCAUCCAGCUCGGACUGCGACUCUGUAGGCCAGGCUGGUGCGGUCCUGACUGCAUGGUCCCCACAGCGGCUGGAUAAUUCGGCAAACCUGGCCCUUUCUUCAGAGGCGGGUCGCUCCGCUCCGCCGUGUGGACCUGAACUCGCCGAGCUGUGAGGGAAUCCGGCCACCCUGCGCUGUCCUGGGCGCCUGAGUGGCGGCGCCCUUGGCCCUGGCAGAGAAGGGCUUGCUUUGUAUGCUCCAGGGACACGUGUCUGAGGCAGCUCAGGCCUCAGCGAGAUCUGCCAUCUGGUUCUCCUGCGGGCUUCUUCCUUUCUUGGGACCUAAGAACCAGCCCGGGCAGGAAAGUGCAAGAGCCCUUCUUUUUCUGCCGGUCCGGACUGUCCCCGCCUCCAGAAAUUGUGGAAAAUGCGCGAUUGUGCAGAGGCUGUAGGGGCUCCGGGCCCUGCCCUGCCCAACCCGGGGACCUUCCGGGCCCUGGAUUCGCUGCUGUGGGUUUCCGGGGGCAGAGACUCACCAGCAGCGCUCAGCCCGCCCCCGACCGGUCACCGUACUGCGCCGGGGAUCCGACCUGCCCAGACGAAGAAAGGACGGAAGCCCUUCUCGCCUACAUGCAGUUCAGAGACGACUUCUCAACCCUAGCUUGCAGAGAAUAGUCUCCUGCCUUGAAUCCUGGAUUUUCCUCAUGCCCAUCAAGGUGGAAGAGAGAGAGCUUUGCUCUAUGACACAUCUGGAGACCCAAGCUAAUGAGGAAGUUGAGCCAUUCUCAAUGGGUACCUUCCAAGUUAUCGGUCCCAGCCUGCAGGAAGGAGAGGGGGCAGCAACUCCAAGAUUCCCAUUUCUCUGACUCCAUGUCUCUUCCCUUAAUUUCACACCCUAAAGCCCAGGGCACAGGAUACCCACCCCGCCUCCCAGAUUGAGCCUCCACUCUCUGGUCGGGGGCAGCAGGAUUUGGGAGGACUCUUCCCCUCUGCCUUUAGCACCUGAGGCAAAGGAGCCAUCUUGAAACUGCCCAACAACUCAGCACCAGAAGACCGGGAGAGGCCGGCAAUCCUGGGUCUUCCCACGCUGCAUCCACAGAGAUCCACAAGAGGGCGCUCUCCGCGCUACACCUGUUCCUAGACUCUCCCACCGGCCUCCCAGAACGCUACUCAAGUGAAGACUGACAAAUGGGGCAGAAAAACGCCGCCCAGAAAGGCUUGGGAAGGGUACACUCCAGAAUGGAGAAGAGUGUGGUCUACAUGAGUCCCAGCAUCCACGCAGAAGCUUGGAGAAGGUCGGUCCUCAGACCAGUUGUCAGCCUCGGGUUUCCAGAGAUAGAAUGGCCGGCGCUCCUUCCACGCCCCACUCACUGUCUCCGCUGAUGCACACACUCCUUCUACAGGGGACGGCUUACUAUCCUUCUCUGUGUCCUCAGGGCCUGGACGAAUGAAUGAGCAAACAAAGUAUAAUACUUAAGAGGCUUUGGUCCAGAUACAUGUGCACAUGUGUGAAAUGAUAUGUGUACAAACAUAUUCAUUGGAACAGUAUUUGUACUCUGAAAAGAUUGGAAAAAACUUAAAUAUUCAUCAAUAGAGGACUUGAAAAAUAAAUUUUUAUAUAUCCAUCAAUGUAAUCAUGUGCAGCCGUGAAAAGAAUGGGAUAGCUCUAAAUACAUUGAUGUGGAGCAAACUCUAAGAUACAUGGUUAGGUGUAAAGAACAAGAUGCAGAACAGGGCCCAUGUUAGGCUCCUCUCCACAUGGACAUAUGUAGGGGGAGAAUACGUAUGUCUGAAUAUGUAUAGAAAAGCUUGGGAAGGACACCCAGGAAAAUUAUAGCUCUGGUUCUCUGGGGAGAGCAACAGAGUGCCUGAGGGAGAGGGUGAAAGGAAGGCUGACUUGUCAC